This 475-nucleotide ribosomal RNA is filed under the name uncultured bacterium. Its description in RNAcentral is "bacterial SSU rRNA". It matches the Rfam family "Bacterial small subunit ribosomal RNA", at positions 329 to 793 of the family's 1533-position model. The record is from RNAcentral.
CUACGCACUCCUACGGGAGGCAGCAGUGGGGAAUAUUGCACAAUGGGCGCAAGCCUGAUGCAGCCAUGCCGCGUGUAUGAAGAAGGCCUUCGGGUUGUAAAGUACUUUCAGCAGUGAGGAAGGUGGGUAUGUUAAUAGCAUACUCAUUUGACGUUAGCUGCAGAAGAAGCACCGGCUAACUCCGUGCCAGCAGCCGCGGUAAUACGGAGGGUGCGAGCGUUAAUCGGAAUUACUGGGCGUAAAGCGCAUGCAGGUGGUUUGUUAAGUCAGAUGUAGAAAGGCCCGGGGCUCAACCUCGGAAUUGCAUUUAGAAACUGGACAAACUAGAGUACUGUAGAGGGGGUAGAAUUUCAGGUGUAGCGGUGAAAUGCGUAGAGAUCUGAAGGAAUACCGGUGGCGAAGGCGGCCCCCUGGACAGAUACUGACACUCAGAUGCGAAAGCGUGGGGAGCAAACAGGAUUAGAUACCCUGGUAG